AUGUUGUUACACCAUCUUCCUCCUCCUCCUAAUUUCAUCUCCGACACCUCCCUCCCCAAAAACGUCACCGUCGAAGGCAUAACCGUCGAUUCACGCAACAACCGCGUCCUCGCUGUAAUCCAUGCCGUCAAGCCUCUCCCUCCUUUCAACGCCCUUGCCGCAUACGACCUCAAAUCCGGAAACCGUAUCUUCCUCUCCGUACUCCCCGCUAAUGAAGAAGAAGCCCUCCCAUUUCCAUCUCCGCCCGAUCCUUCGCGAGAUUUGUUGAUGAGGAUGAACAGACGAGAGCUAUGA
Molecule: non-coding RNA, 294 nt
Organism: Vicia faba (fava bean)
Lineage: Eukaryota; Viridiplantae; Streptophyta; Magnoliopsida; Fabales; Fabaceae
Source: the annotation of a GenBank genome assembly